GUUUCCCCCCCCGGGUACUAGCAUAUCAAUAAGCGGAGGAAAAGAAACCAACAGGGAUUGCCCUAGUAACGGCGAGUGAAGCGGCAACAGCUCAAAUUUGAAAUCUGGCUCUCGGGCCCGAGUUGUAAUUUGUAGAGGAUACUUUUGAUGCGGUGCCUUCCGAGUUCCCUGGAACGGGACGCCAUAGAGGGUGAGAGCCCCGUCUGGUUGGAUGCCAAAUCUCUGUAAAGUUCCUUCAACGAGUCGAGUAGUUUGGGAAUGCUGCUCUAAAUGGGAGGUAUAUGUCUUCUAAAGCUAAAUACCGGCCAGAGACCGAUAGCGCACAAGUAGAGUGAUCGAAAGAUGAAAAGCACUUUGAAAAGAGAGUUAAAAAGUACGUGAAAUUGUUGAAAGGGAAGCGUUUAUGACCAGACUUGGGCUUGGUUAAUAAUCUGGGGUUCUCCCCAGUGCACUUUUCCAGUCCAGGCCAGCAUCAGUUUUCCCCGGGGGAUAAAGGCGGCGGGAAUGUGGCUCUCUUCGGGGAGUGUUAUAGCCCACCGUGUAAUACCCUGGGGGGGACUGAGGUUCGCGCAUCUGCAAGGAUGCUGGCGUAAUGGUCAUCAACGACCCGUCUUGAAACACGGACCAAGGAGUCGUCUUCGUAUGCGAGUGUUCGGGUGUCAAACCCCUACGCGUAAUGAAAGUGAACGCAGGUGAGAGCUUCGGCGCAUCAUCGACCGAUCCUGAUGUUCUCGGAUGGAUUUGAGUAAGAGCAUACGGGGCCGGACCCGAAAGAAGGUGAACUAUGCCUGUAUAGGGUGAAGCCAGAGGAAACUCUGGUGGAGGCUCGCAGCGGUUCUGACGUGCAAAUCGAUCGUCAAAUAUGGGCAUGGGGGGCGAAAGACUAAUCGAACCCUUCUAGUAGCUGGGUUUCGUUGAGCUCCCCCUUUCAAGGAAA
Molecule: ribosomal RNA, 937 nt
Filed under: Fusarium oxysporum f. sp. perniciosum
Lineage: Eukaryota; Fungi; Ascomycota; Sordariomycetes; Hypocreales; Nectriaceae
Description: LSU rRNA
Rfam family: Eukaryotic large subunit ribosomal RNA
Source: RNAcentral